GGAUGAACGCUGACAGAAUGCUUAACCCAUGCAAGUCAACUUGAAUUUGGGUUUUUAACUUAGGUUUGGGUGGCGGACGGGUGAGUAACGCGUAAAGAACUUGCCUCACAGCUAGGGACAACAUUUGGAAACGAAUGCUAAUACCUAAUAUUAUGAUAAUAGGGCAUCCUAUAAUUAUGAAAGCUAUAAGCGCUGUGAGAGAGCUUUGCGUCCCAUUAGCUAGUUGGAGAGGUAACGGCUCACCAAGGCGAUGAUGGGUAGCCGGUCUGAGAGGGUGAUCGGCCACAAGGGGACUGAGACACGGCCCUUACUCCUACGGGAGGCAGCAGUGGGGAAUAUUGGACAAUGGACCGAGAGUCUGAUCCAGCAAUUCUGUGUGCACGAUGAAGUUUUUCGGAAUGUAAAGUGCUUUCAGUUGGGAAGAAACAAAUGACGGCACCAACAGAAGAAGUGACGGCUAAAUACGUG
This 468-nucleotide ribosomal RNA is filed under the name uncultured bacterium. RNAcentral describes it as "partial 16S ribosomal RNA". It matches the Rfam family "Bacterial small subunit ribosomal RNA", at positions 27 to 507 of the family's 1533-position model. The record is from RNAcentral.